This 293-nucleotide long non-coding RNA is filed under the name Vombatus ursinus (common wombat). Its description in RNAcentral is "lncRNA (ENSVURG00010016022.1)". Lineage: Eukaryota; Metazoa; Chordata; Mammalia; Diprotodontia; Vombatidae. The record is from RNAcentral.
GCCAUAUCCCCCGUGAGACCUUUCCAGAGUCUCCCUGCAGCUAACGCUUCUUAAAGAGACUCACAGUCCAUGAGGAAAAUGAGGGAGAUCUCAGUAGAUGAGCCAUACUCUUGCUGAUGACCCAACUCCUGUUUGAUCCUGUUGACAAGAGUUCAGAAGCUGUAAAGGAAACUUAUUCUCAACGCUGGUGUUGUAAAGAAAAGAAUACCAGGAGUUGAAGAGAUUAAAACAGGAGAGUUAACAGGUCAGAUUAUUUGCUUAAUUAUUUAUGGAUCAAUUAAUUUUAUAUCAUU